UGCAGUCGAGCGAUGGAUUAAGAGCUUGCUCUUAUGAAGUUAGCGGCGGACGGGUGAGUAACACGUGGGUAACCUGCCCAUAAGACUGGGAUAACUCCGGGAAACCGGGGCUAAUACCGGAUAACAUUUUGAACCGCAUGGUUCGAAAUUGAAAGGCGGCUUCGGCUGUCACUUAUGGAUGGACCCGCGUCGCAUUAGCUAGUUGGUGAGGUAACGGCUCACCAAGGCAACGAUGCGUAGCCGACCUGAGAGGGUGAUCGGCCACACUGGGACUGAGACACGGCCCAGACUCCUACGGGAGGCAGCAGUAGGGAAUCUUCCGCAAUGGACGAAAGUCUGACGGAGCAACGCCGCGUGAGUGAUGAAGGCUUUCGGGUCGUAAAACUCUGUUGUUAGGGAAGAACAAGUGCUAGUUGAAUAAGCUGGCACCUUGACGGUACCUAACCAGAAAGCCACGGCUAACUACGUGCCAGCAGCCGCGGUAAUACGUAGGUGGCAAGCGUUAUCCGGAAUUAUUGGGCGUAAAGCGCGCGCAGGUGGUUUCUUAAGUCUGAUGUGAAAGCCCACGGCUCAACCGUGGAGGGUCAUUGGAAACUGGGAGACUUGAGUGCAGAAGAGGAAAGUGGAAUUCCAUGUGUAGCGGUGAAAUGCGUAGAGAUAUGGAGGAACACCAGUGGCGAAAGGCGACUUUCUGGUCUGUAACUGA
This 706-nucleotide ribosomal RNA is filed under the name Bacillus sp. (in: firmicutes). RNAcentral describes it as "bacterial SSU rRNA". It matches the Rfam family "Bacterial small subunit ribosomal RNA", at positions 56 to 743 of the family's 1533-position model. The record is from RNAcentral. Lineage: Bacteria; Bacillati; Bacillota; Bacilli; Caryophanales; Bacillaceae.